GUUGGUUUUGUAAAGUAUCCAUAAAAUUAAUGUUAAUUUCUGCUCCAAUUUAUGAAUUAAAAUUACACAUUCUUUUUUUUUUUACAAACUCAGUUUCCUCACUUUCGUUUCCUUUGAAUGCCAAAAAUCUGUACAAGGGAAAAUGGAAUUUCCUCAAACUGGUCAGACUUCAGAUAUGUCAAAUUGGUAAGGAAGGAAAAGAAAAAUUUCCAUCCCCAGCUGAAGUUGAUAACAUAUUUGGUAGGUGUUGAGGAGAGAGGAGGGAUUGUAACAAAGGAAUUUGGUUUUGUCUGAAAAUUAUUAGUCUGGGAUCAUCCUGUAGGUGUAGAACUUUUUUGGCAUUAAGUGCUAAAGUUUAGGGUGAUUCAAAAGUAACCUAACAGUGACUGUUAUCAAAGUCCAUUAAUAAUGGAAAAUAAGUGGAAAAUAAUUUUAAAUUGAAAUUAUG
RNAcentral lists this long non-coding RNA (448 nucleotides) under Androctonus crassicauda. The record is from RNAcentral. Lineage: Eukaryota; Metazoa; Arthropoda; Arachnida; Scorpiones; Buthidae.